This 941-nucleotide ribosomal RNA is filed under the name Shigella sonnei. RNAcentral's name for it is "partial 23S ribosomal RNA". It matches the Rfam family "Bacterial large subunit ribosomal RNA", at positions 419 to 1359 of the family's 2925-position model. Lineage: Bacteria; Pseudomonadati; Pseudomonadota; Gammaproteobacteria; Enterobacterales; Enterobacteriaceae. The record is from RNAcentral.
GGGACACGUGGUAUCCUGUCUGAAUAUGGGGGGACCAUCCUCCAAGGCUAAAUACUCCUGACUGACCGAUAGUGAACCAGUACCGUGAGGGAAAGGCGAAAAGAACCCCGGCGAGGGGAGUGAAAAAGAACCUGAAACCGUGUACGUACAAGCAGUGGGAGCACGCUUAGGCGUGUGACUGCGUACCUUUUGUAUAAUGGGUCAGCGACUUAUAUUCUGUAGCAAGGUUAACCGAAUAGGGGAGCCGAAGGGAAACCGAGUCUUAACUGGGCGUUAAGUUGCAGGGUAUAGACCCGAAACCCGGUGAUCUAGCCAUGGGCAGGUUGAAGGUUGGGUAACACUAACUGGAGGACCGAACCGACUAAUGUUGAAAAAUUAGCGGAUGACUUGUGGCUGGGGGUGAAAGGCCAAUCAAACCGGGAGAUAGCUGGUUCUCCCCGAAAGCUAUUUAGGUAGCGCCUCGUGAAUUCAUCUCCGGGGGUAGAGCACUGUUUCGGCAAGGGGGUCAUCCCGACUUACCAACCCGAUGCAAACUGCGAAUACCGGAGAAUGUUAUCACGGGAGACACACGGCGGGUGCUAACGUCCGUCGUGAAGAGGGAAACAACCCAGACCGCCAGCUAAGGUCCCAAAGUCAUGGUUAAGUGGGAAACGAUGUGGGAAGGCCCAGACAGCCAGGAUGUUGGCUUAGAAGCAGCCAUCAUUUAAAGAAAGCGUAAUAGCUCACUGGUCGAGUCGGCCUGCGCGGAAGAUGUAACGGGGCUAAACCAUGCACCGAAGCUGCGGCAGCGACGCUUAUGCGUUGUUGGGUAGGGGAGCGUUCUGUAAGCCUGCGAAGGUGUGCUGUGAGGCAUGCUGGAGGUAUCAGAAGUGCGAAUGCUGACAUAAGUAACGAUAAAGCGGGUGAAAAGCCCGCUCGCCGGAAGACCAAGGGUUCCUGUC